ACCAGCGUAGCUCAGUGGAUAACGCACACGGCUAAUAACAGAUAGGUUGUGCGUUCGAGCCCCGUCGGGGUCG
Non-coding RNA from Baffinella frigidus, 73 nucleotides. NCBI's taxonomy places the organism in Eukaryota, Cryptophyceae, Cryptomonadales, Baffinellaceae. The record is from the annotation of a GenBank genome assembly.